RNAcentral lists this ribosomal RNA (461 nucleotides) under uncultured bacterium. RNAcentral's name for it is "bacterial SSU rRNA". It matches the Rfam family "Bacterial small subunit ribosomal RNA", at positions 343 to 796 of the family's 1533-position model. The record is from RNAcentral.
UGGAGGCAGCAGUGGGGAAUUUUGGACAAUGGGGGCAACCCUGAUCCAGCCAUUCCGCGUGAGUGAAGAAGGCCUUCGGGUUGUAAAGCUCUUUCAGCAGGAACGAAACGGUGGCCCCUAAUACGAGCUACUAAUGACGGUACCUGAAGAAGAAGCACCGGCUAACUACGUGCCAGCAGCCGCGGUAAUACGUAGGGUACGAGCGUUAAUCGGAAUUACUGGGCGUAAAGCGUGCGCAGGCGGUUCCAUAAGACAGAUGUGAAAUCCCCGGGCUUAACCUGGGAACUGCGUUUGUGACUGUGGGACUUGAGUGUGGCAGAGGGGGGUGGAAUUCCACGUGUAGCAGUGAAAUGCGUAGAGAUGUGGAGGAACACCGAUGGCGAAGGCAGCCCCCUGGGUCAACACUGACGCUCAUGCACGAAAGCGUGGGGAGCAAACAGGAUUAGAAACCCUAGUAGUCC